GAGAACAUGCAAACUCCACACAGAAAGGUCCCAGCUGGGAGUCGAACCGGGGCCUUCUCGCUGUGAGGCAAGAGCGCUAACCACUGCGCCACCGUGCAGCCGUCUGCAAUAUCAUCAUUUAUAAUUGCAUAUAAUAUAAAUGCAUUUUCUUAUAAAAGAAUGCCGACAGAUGAUGAAGUAGUGGGAAUUUAAAAAGUAUUUUUUUAUCUUUUUUUUCUCUCAUUUUUUUCUAACAAAGUGACGAUUCGCAUUUAAUUUCUAGAAUAUGUGCAGACAAUGCUGAUUUUUUUUUCUUGGUUACAUGUUGCUGAAAGUAUGUGGUUAAUUAUAAUAAAGCCACACUUAAGAUAUUUGCUGUGCCACAUGCUACGCCUGCCUGUUUUUAUAACUACAAAAUGUAGCCUUGGACGAAUUUAAAAUACAUGAGGGCAAUGAAGCAGUCUUGACUGCACGUAAGUAGAUCUUGAAAAUGUGAUUGAAAGAUUUAACAUUGAAAUGGGAAGUUAGCAUUAAUAGUCUGUAGUCUUUGGCGGUUGGGCUCUGAGCCAGAGACAUCUUGCAAGCUUGGAAUGACCUCAGACCAAGUGAUCCCAUACGCUGAUGGUGGUUAAGACCAGACCACGCCGAAUCGAAAAGCCAGACUAACAGAACUGCUGCUAACGGGUAAUUUUCUCUUUUUCUGACCAUUCUCUAUAAAUCCUAUGGUUGUGGGUGAAAAUUUGUUUGGACCACUAUCCAGUUAGACAGCUCAACUACACAAACCACUCCUUUAACUAAAGCCUCGCUGUGCUCAGAAAAAGAACAACCUAGUUUUUACUGACUAUAAAUGUGAUUUGAUCUUUACUCAGGUUAAGAGUCAACAUUAAAAUAUUGUGUAAUCUGUUUUGUUUGCAGCAUCUGUGACCUCUUAACACAUCAACAUCAGUUCACAUGUGUGCACACCUGCAACAGGAAGAUGACUCCUCCCUCUUGUUGGGAAAUCUUGCUGCAGGUUCUAAAUAGACUCAGCUCAGGUUUUGAUUUAAGGUGUACUCUGGAGCAGAAUAAACGUUUUUCACAGGAGGUCUACCACUCCAGCAUCACUGUUUGAAUGAUUCCUGCUCUCCUGUCAUCAGAGGAGACCCUUGUAUGAAGAACUUCCCCCUGCAUCUUUUUUUCCUGCAUCUGCUGGGAUUCAUGAUGGGUCGAUAGAGUCACCUGGGUUCCUUAUGACUUACUGCUCAGGCCUCCACUGGAUUCUGAAGAUUCUGUAAGGGAAUUGCUCCGCUCUCAUAGGGACAAGCUUACUCUAGGUAUAUUUCCACCAUGCAGCAGGAUGACCUCGAUCUGCUGUUUGAAGUUAACCAGGAAGAGAGCCGACGUCAUAGACUGGACUCGACAUCUAGAUGGAUGCAGAUAGCACAACGAGGAACAACACGAGGAACACCUCUGACCAUACUCCUCCUCUCCUGAUACCGGGCUGGGCGUGGAUCCAGUUCGUUACAGUACCACAUGAGGGCGCUGUCAUCAGCCCUUUGACAAAAAGCUGAGAGUGCAUGUAAGGUGAUGCCAGUUUCCUGCCAGACAACCUGUUCAACAUGUACCUAACUAAUAAUAAUAAUACAAUAAUACUAAUUAAAUCUUUUGUAGAAGCUGAGUUUUGUUUUAUACGUAUGAAAAUCAUUCAUAUUUGACCAAAUAAUAAAGUGCCUUAUGUGAAUGUGUAACAUUUCAAGA
Long non-coding RNA from Oryzias melastigma (Indian medaka), 1716 nucleotides. RefSeq lists it as uncharacterized. Lineage: Eukaryota; Metazoa; Chordata; Actinopteri; Beloniformes; Adrianichthyidae. The transcript is spliced from 3 exons. The record is from RefSeq and is a predicted model, not a curated record.